Molecule: unclassified non-coding RNA, 308 nt
Filed under: Hevea brasiliensis (rubber tree)
Lineage: Eukaryota; Viridiplantae; Streptophyta; Magnoliopsida; Malpighiales; Euphorbiaceae
Source: RNAcentral
GAAUGAACUUCAAUACUAUCAGUUUAAACCAAACGCCAUGUCAAUAAGAAAAACCCAAAAGCUACAUUUCCAUUUGCUAAACAAUGCUUAGGAAAACUGUUAUACAUCUGUUCGGUUUUGGUAACAUAUGAGAUUCUAUCAAAACUUCAAGCAUUUGUUUGUUACAGAAGUGUAUAAAGUCAAAACCGCCAAGCACAAGCUAGUCAUACCCACUUGAACGAAAUCUGCCUACACGAAUGCUGGAGCAUAGAAACAUUUCAGGCUCAACCAGACAAGCACCUAUCUAACUUACAUAACCAUUCCUCCAU